CGGACGGGUGAGUAACGCGUGAGAAUCUGCCUUCAGGAUGGGGACAACAAUUGGAAACGAUUGCUAAUACCCGAUAUGACGAAAGUUGAAAGAUUUAUCGCCUGGAGAUGAGCUCGCGUCAGAUUAGCUAGAUGGUGUGGUAAAGGCGCACCAUGGCGACGAUCUGUAGCUGGUCUGAGAGGAUGAGCAGCCACACUGGGACUGAGACACGGCCCAGACUCCUACGGGAGGCAGCAGUGGGGAAUUUUCCGCAAUGGGCGCAAGCCUGACGGAGCAAUACCGCGUGAGGGAGGAAGGCUCUUGGGUCGUAAACCUCUUUUCUCAGGGAAGAACACAAUGACGGUACCUGAGGAAUAAGCAUCGGCUAACUCUGUGCCAGCAGCCGCGGUAAUACAGAGGAUGCAAGCGUUAUCCGGAAUGAUUGGGCGUAAAGCGUCCGUAGGUGGUUUUGUAAGUCUGUGGUUAAAGCGUGGAGCUUAACUCCAUAACGGCCAUGGAAACUACCAGACUAGAGUUAAGUAGGGGUAGAGGGAAUUCCCAGUGUAGCGGUGAAAUGCGUAGAGAUUGGGAAGAACACCGGUGGCGAAAGCGCUUUACUGGACUUAUACUGACACUGAGGGACGAAAGCUAGGGGAGCGAAUGGGAUUAGAUACCCCAGUAGUC
Molecule: ribosomal RNA, 663 nt
Filed under: uncultured Chamaesiphon sp.
Lineage: Bacteria; Bacillati; Cyanobacteriota; Cyanophyceae; Gomontiellales; Chamaesiphonaceae
Description: bacterial SSU rRNA
Rfam family: Bacterial small subunit ribosomal RNA
Source: RNAcentral